GAUGAACGCUGGCGGCGUGCCUAAUACAUGCAAGUAGAACGCUGAAGGAGGAGCUUGCUCUUCUGGAAGAGUUGCGAACGGGUGAGUAACGCGUAGGUAACCUGCCUCUUAGCGGGGGAUAACUAUUGGAAACGAUAGCUAAUACCGCAUAAAAGUCGACAUUGCAUGAUGUUGACUUGAAAGGUGCAACUGCAUCACUAAGAGAUGGACCUGCGUUGUAUUAGCUAGUUGGUGAGGUAACGGCUCACCAAGGCGACGAUACAUAGCCGACCUGAGAGGGUGAUCGGCCACACUGGGACUGAGACACGGCCCAGACUCCUACGGGAGGCAGCAGUAGGGAAUCUUCGGCAAUGGGGGCAACCCUGACCGAGCAACGCCGCGUGAGUGAAGAAGGUUUUCGGAUCGUAAAGCUCUGUUGUAAGAGAAGAACGAGUGUGAGAGUGGAAAGUUCACGCUGUGACG
This 462-nucleotide ribosomal RNA is filed under the name Streptococcus sp. oral taxon 057. Its description in RNAcentral is "bacterial SSU rRNA". It matches the Rfam family "Bacterial small subunit ribosomal RNA", at positions 28 to 474 of the family's 1533-position model. The record is from RNAcentral. Lineage: Bacteria; Bacillati; Bacillota; Bacilli; Lactobacillales; Streptococcaceae.